RNAcentral lists this ribosomal RNA (230 nucleotides) under uncultured microorganism. RNAcentral describes it as "partial 16S ribosomal RNA". It matches the Rfam family "Bacterial small subunit ribosomal RNA", at positions 524 to 753 of the family's 1533-position model. The record is from RNAcentral.
UACGGAGGGGGCUAGCGUUGUUCGGAAUUACUGGGCGUAAAGCGCACGUAGGCGGAUCAGCCAGUCAGAGGUGAAAGCCCAGGGCUCAACCUUGGAAUUGCCUUUGAUACUGUUGAUCUGGAGUCCGGGAGAGGUGUGUGGAAUUCCGAGUGUAGAGGUGAAAUUCGUAGAUAUUCGGAGGAACACCAGAGGCGAAGGCGACACACUGGACCGGUACUGACGCUGAGGUG